GUUGAACGCUGGCGGCAUGCCUUACACAUGCAAGUCGAACGGCAGCACGGGGGCAACCCUGGUGGCGAGUGGCGAACGGGUGAGUAAUGCAUCGGAACGUGCCCCGUAGCGGGGAUAACCAGUCGAAAGACUGGCUAAUACCGCAUACGCUCCACGGAGGAAAGCAGGGGAUCGCAAGACCUUGCACUAUGGGAGCGGCCGAUGCCCGAUUAGCUAGUUGGUGAGGUAAAGGGCUCACCAAGGCGACGAUCGGUAGCUGGUUUGAGAGAACGACCAGCCACACUGGGACUGAGACACGGCCCAGACUCCUACGGGAGGCAGCAGUGGGGAAUUUUGGACAAUGGGCGCAAGCUGAUCCAGCCAUGCCGCGUGCGGGAUGAAGGCC
RNAcentral lists this ribosomal RNA (385 nucleotides) under uncultured bacterium. RNAcentral describes it as "bacterial SSU rRNA". It matches the Rfam family "Bacterial small subunit ribosomal RNA", at positions 28 to 416 of the family's 1533-position model. The record is from RNAcentral.